This 75-nucleotide transfer RNA is filed under the name Marmota monax (woodchuck). Its description in RNAcentral is "tRNA.Thr". The record is from RNAcentral. Lineage: Eukaryota; Metazoa; Chordata; Mammalia; Rodentia; Sciuridae.
AGGGGUGUAGCUCAGAGGUAAAGCAUGUGCUUGGUAUUAAGCUCAAGAACCUGGGUUGGAUUUCCUACACCAUUA